UACGUAGGGUGCAAGCGUUGUCCGGAAUUAUUGGGCGUAAAGAGCUCGUAGGCGGUCUGUCGCGUCUGCUGUGAAAAUCCAGGGCUCAACCCUGGACCUGCAGUGGGUACGGGCAGACUAGAGUGCGGUAGGGGAGAUCGGAAUUCCUGGUGUAGCGGUGAAAUGCGCAGAUAUCAGGAAGAACAUCGGUGGCGAAGGCGCUCUGCUGGACCAUAACUGACACUCAGGGACGAAAGCUAGGGGAGCGAAUGGG
Molecule: ribosomal RNA, 253 nt
Filed under: uncultured bacterium
Lineage: Bacteria
Description: partial 16S ribosomal RNA
Rfam family: Bacterial small subunit ribosomal RNA
Source: RNAcentral